Long non-coding RNA from Solanum pennellii, 1645 nucleotides. RefSeq lists it as uncharacterized. NCBI's taxonomy places the organism in Eukaryota, Viridiplantae, Streptophyta, Magnoliopsida, Solanales, Solanaceae. The record is from RefSeq and is a predicted model, not a curated record. The transcript is spliced from 2 exons.
UUGAAUUUGCAGCUUAAAUUUUAUAGCUAAAAAUAGAUCGUGUUGUAGUGAAUUAAAGACUCAAAAUCUUUCAUCUUCUAAUCCAUUAUUCUGUUCUCUCUCAAACUAUAUGGAAAAACCUUUAGGAAAAAUCAAAGUAGAAGACUCUCUAUUCUAAUUCUUUCAAUCUUUUUCAAGAUUAUUCUUCAAGGUAAGUACUUCUCCAAGAAUUUCACUAUUUCCAACUCAAAUUCCUCCAUGUAACUAUGAACCACUAAUUAAAAUCAUAAUUAUUGGUCAUAGAUUUUUCAAAAAACUAAUUCAAAAAUUUCAAGAAAGGCUUUCUUGAUUGUUCUCCUUCAAGCAAGGGUUUCAAGGCUUCUAUCCAUUUUUUUUCAUGAUUCUUCAAAAAACUUGUUCUUCACGUCUAUAAGGCUAUCAUAGUGUUGGACUAGUUCGUCCUCACGCCAUACAUCUACUUUCAAAUCAGUAAAAGUGAAAACUAGGAUCCUACCCUUAGAUUUGAUUAUUCUUGAGCUAAGCUAAUUUUAAGUUUUUGAAUUCUUGAUUCUUUUGAGAUUCUAUUCCUAAGUAUUAAGUUUAUAUAUUGUUAUUGAGAUCUUUGAGGUUAUUUUUAAUGACUAUAAUUCAACAUGAACCAUAUUUGAGAUAUAAAUCUUGAGAAGUUUUUUCAAAGCCAACAUUUCAGUUUCUAAGGAAGUAAAUAUGAGUUUUGAGAAAAAGUUUAAAAGUUCUAUUUCAUGAAGAUUUUAAGAGUUUUUCUAAUGUUAUUUUAUUCAUAUAUAUACAUAUACAUAUGUACCUAUGUUAAUUAUUGGACUUUAAAAAUAAGUUCAUAAGUGCAUGUAUUCAAGAAGGUAAACUGUAACAUAUCAGAUUCUAGAUAAACUAAAGUUAAGCUAAGAAAAAACAAGAAACAUUAAAUAUGGAAAUAAGUAAAGAAAUAUGAAAAAGUUCUAGAUUUCAAAAGUAAGUUUUGGUCAUUUUCAAAAGGCCAUAACUCCCAGCUCAGGAAGAAUUUGGAUGAGUUCUUUAUAUGGAUGGAAAGCUUGUUAAAAUAUCAUCCCAACAGCGCCAUGUUUUCAGACUUCCAAGGUCGUUUGAGUGAGAUAUGACCUUCGUAAGAUGGGAUGUUCAGUAGUGAAAGUUUUAAAAAUAGAUUUAGUAAGUGUGUUUUUUUCUUAUCCUUAAGGAAAUUAAUUAUUUUGUUUUGGAGUAAUAUGUUUGGGUCUAAACUAUUCUCAUUCAGUUUACGCACUUAGAAAAAAUUAACUAAGGUUUUGAAAGUAAGAAGAAAAGAGGAGAAUGAAGAAGAAGACGCAAGAACGCCAAGUUUAGCUUCGUGAAUCUUUGUUGGGGGUGAUUCCUAACAAGAUAUAGAUGUUCAUAAUUAUCAACAGGGCUGUUUUGAGAUCACUCUACACUCCAGUUAGCUUCGUCAUAAUUACUUUCGAGUUAGUAGUUUUGAGAUGUCACGGGUCUUAUCCUGACAUCCUUUGUUAAUAGUACAAGCUUCAUAGAAAUAUAGUUUUGGAAAGUGUUUUAGUUUAAGAUAUUUUAUAUAAAAUUUAUAUUUCAUAAUAAGUAUAUCCAAUUAUGUUUUGAUAUUCAAUAAACCAUUUUUGACGUUUCUUUCAGUUUGAUA